UACGUAGGGGGCAAGCGUUGUCCGGAAUCAUUGGGCGUAAAGCGCGCGUAGGCGGCCAGAUAAGUCCGGUGUGAAAGUCACAGGCUCAACCUGUGAAUGCCGCUGGAAACUGUCUGGCUUGAGUCCGGAAGGGGUGAGUGGAAUUCCUGGUGUAGCGGUGAAAUGCGCAGAUAUCAGGAGGAACACCAAUGGCGAAGGCAGCUCGCUGGAACGGUACUGACGCUGAGGCGCGAAAGCGUGGGGAGCGAACAGG
This 253-nucleotide ribosomal RNA is filed under the name uncultured bacterium. RNAcentral's name for it is "partial 16S ribosomal RNA". It matches the Rfam family "Bacterial small subunit ribosomal RNA", at positions 524 to 776 of the family's 1533-position model. The record is from RNAcentral.